This 253-nucleotide ribosomal RNA is filed under the name uncultured bacterium. RNAcentral's name for it is "partial 16S ribosomal RNA". It matches the Rfam family "Bacterial small subunit ribosomal RNA", at positions 524 to 776 of the family's 1533-position model. The record is from RNAcentral.
AACGUAGGGGACAAGCGUUAUCCGGAUUUACUGGGCGUAAAGCGCCCGUAGGCGGCCUGACAAGUUGGACGUGAAAGCUCCUGGCUUAACUGGGAGAGGCCGUUCAAAACUGUCAAGCUAGAGUCUGGAAGAGGGGAGCGGAAUUCCCGGUGUAGUGGUGGAAUGCGUAGAGAUCGGGAGGAACACCAGUGGCGAAAGCGGCUCUCUGGUCCAAAACUGACGCUGAGGGGCGAAAGCGUGGGGAGCGAACGGG